GAAGCUUGCUUUUUUGCUGACGACCGGCGCACGGGUGCGUAACGCGUAUACAAUCUACCUUUAGCUGAGGGAUAGCCCAGAGAAAUUUGGAUUAAUACCUCAUGGUAUCUAUUCAAGGCAUCUUAAAUAGAUUAAAGGUUACGGCUAAAGAUGAGUAUGCGUCCUAUUAGCUAGAUGGUGUGGUAACGGCACACCAUGGCAACGAUAGGUAGGGGCCCUGAGAGGGGGAUCCCCCACACUGGUACUGAGACACGGACCAGACUCCUACGGGAGGCAGCAGUGAGGAAUAUUGGGCAAUGGAGGCAACUCUGACCCAGCCAUGCCGCGUGCAGGAAGACUGCCCUAUGGGUUGUAAACUGCUUUUAUACAGGAAGAAACACUCCCUCGUGAGGGAGCUUGACGGUACUGUAAGAAUAAGGAUCGGCUAACUCCGUGCCAGCAGCCGCGGUAAUACGGAGGAUCCAAGCGUUAUCCGGAAUCAUUGGGUUUAAAGGGUCCGUAGGUGGAUUAAUAAGUCAGAGGUGAAAUCCUGCAGCUCAACUGUAGAACUGCCUUUGAUACUGUUAAUCUUGAGUCAUUAUGAAGUGGUUAGAAUGUGUAGUGUAGCGGUGAAAUGCAUAGAUAUUACACAGAAUACCGAUUGCGAAGGCAGAUCACUAAUAAUGUACUGACACUG
RNAcentral lists this ribosomal RNA (676 nucleotides) under uncultured bacterium. RNAcentral describes it as "bacterial SSU rRNA". It matches the Rfam family "Bacterial small subunit ribosomal RNA", at positions 75 to 748 of the family's 1533-position model. The record is from RNAcentral.